CAGUCGCCGCGGGAAUACGUAGGUGGCAAGCGUUGUCCGGAAUUAUUGGGCGUAAAGCGCGCGCAGGUGGUUUAAUAAGUCUGAUGUGAAAGCCCACGGCUCAACCGUGGAGGGUCAUUGGAAACUGUUAAACUUGAGUGCAGGAGAGAAAAGUGGAAUUCCUAGUGUAGCGGUGAAAUGCGUAGAUAUAUGGAGGAACACCAGUGGCGAAGGCGACUCUCUGGUCUGUAACUGACGCUGAGGCUCGAAAGCGUGGGUAGCAAACAGGAUUAGAUACCCGUGUAGUCCCUGUCUCUUAUAC
RNAcentral lists this ribosomal RNA (301 nucleotides) under uncultured bacterium. RNAcentral describes it as "partial 16S ribosomal RNA". It matches the Rfam family "Bacterial small subunit ribosomal RNA", at positions 509 to 807 of the family's 1533-position model. The record is from RNAcentral.